GUAGGGGUGGCCGAGCAGGUGGCAGGUUGUAGCCCUGUUCACGGGGCACAGCCCCCCCCCACA
RNAcentral lists this transfer RNA (63 nucleotides) under Cyrtodactylus lekaguli. RNAcentral describes it as "partial tRNA-Tyr". Lineage: Eukaryota; Metazoa; Chordata; Lepidosauria; Squamata; Gekkonidae. The record is from RNAcentral.